This 121-nucleotide microRNA precursor is filed under the name Mus caroli (Ryukyu mouse). Its description in RNAcentral is "microRNA 1192 (MGP_CAROLIEiJ_G0007633.1)". The record is from RNAcentral. Lineage: Eukaryota; Metazoa; Chordata; Mammalia; Rodentia; Muridae.
CCUUCCAAACAGUAAAAACAAACAAACAAACAGACCAAAUUUGUCAUUGUUGUUUCGAUUUGCUCUUUUUGUUUGUUUGCUUUUGCGUUUUGAGACAGGGUCUGGCUUGUAUAGCUCAUGC